RNAcentral lists this ribosomal RNA (424 nucleotides) under Verrucomicrobiota bacterium. RNAcentral describes it as "Verrucomicrobia bacterium partial 16S ribosomal RNA". It matches the Rfam family "Bacterial small subunit ribosomal RNA", at positions 355 to 776 of the family's 1533-position model. The record is from RNAcentral. Lineage: Bacteria; Pseudomonadati; Verrucomicrobiota.
UGAGGAAUAUUGGUCAAUGGGCGCGAGCCUGAACCAGCCAAGUAGCGUGCAGGAAGACGGCCCUAUGGGUUGUAAACUGCUUUUAUGCGGGGAUAAAGGAGUCCACGUGUGGAUUUUUGCAGGUACCGCAUGAAUAAGGACCGGCUAAUUCCGUGCCAGCAGCCGCGGUACUACGGAAGGUCCGGGCGUUAUCCGGAUUUAUUGGGUUUAAAGGGAGCGUAGGCCGCGUUUUAAGCGUGUAGUGAAAUGUAGACGCCCAACGUCUGCAGCGCAGCGCGAACUGGGACGCUUGAGUACGCGCAACGUUGGCGGAAUUCGUCGUGUAGCGGUGAAAGGCUUAGAUAUGACGAGGAACUCCGAUUGCGAAGGCAGCUGACGGGAGCGGCACUGACGAUUAAGCUCGAAGGUACCGGUAUCAAACAGG